Molecule: ribosomal RNA, 335 nt
Filed under: uncultured bacterium
Lineage: Bacteria
Description: bacterial SSU rRNA
Rfam family: Bacterial small subunit ribosomal RNA
Source: RNAcentral
GAUGAACGCUGGCGGCGUGCUUAACACAUGCAAGUCGAACGAAGCACUUUGGACAGAUUCUUCGGAUGAAGUCCUUAGUGACUGAGUGGCGGACGGGUGAGUAACGCGUGGGUAACCUGCCUCAUACAGGGGGAUAACAGUUAGAAAUGGCUGCUAAUACCGCAUAAGCGCACGGUACUGCAUGGUACAGUGUGAAAAACUCCGGUGUAUGAGAUGGACCCGCGUUGAUUAGCUAGUGCAGGUACGCUACCAGCGACGAUCCAUAGCCGGCCUGAGAGGGUGGACGGCCACGAUUGGGACUGAGACACGGGCCCAGACUCCGUACGGGAGGCAGC